GGACCGGGUUACGCUGGGUUAAUUUGGCUUGUUUGGGCUUCAGGUGUCAUUGAAAACCGGUAGUUUCGGGAACAUAGAGAGAGAGGGAGAGAACAGAGAGGGCCGUCCAGUGGAGAGAGGAGACUCCUGGAUUGGAUAGUUGCAGUAGCAGCAGCCUAGUGUUGUUUUCAGAACCUAAACUGCUCAGAAUUAGUACUUAUUAGAAAGGGAUUGAGUAGCAAAUUUCUAACCAAAAGGUUAAGGGUUUUUAAGUCAUCUGAACAGGACAAAGAAAACCUCGGUCCUAUAAGAAUUUUGAAAUUGUACGCCGCUUUUUAUCACCGUAUUAUUAGUAUUAGGAGUUGGAAAAGCAAGGAGGUGAGGCGAGGUUGAAGAUGAAGUUCUGCAAGAAGUACGAGGAAUACAUGCAAGGACAAUGCCAGAGGAAGAAAUUGCCUGGGGUUGGUUUCAAGAAUCUCAAGAAAAUCUUGAAAAGGUGUCGACGACACCUUCAAUCCCGUGAUAACGCUGCCCUUGUUCCUGAUCAUUUCGGAGAUUCUACCCUCUGCGGUAGAUCCUCCUCUUGCCCGGACUCUUGCCCAGUGUGUGAUGGCACGUUUUUCCCUUCACUUCUGAAGGAGAUGUCUGAAGUUGUUGGCUUCUUCAACGAGAAUGCCCAGAGGUUGCUUGAGCUCCAUUUGGCAUCGGGUUUCCGUAAGUGCUUUAUUUGGUUUAAAGACAAAAUACAAGGCAACCAUAUCGCACUGAUUGAAGAAGGCAAGGAGUUGGUCACUUACGCACUGAUUAAUGCCAUUGCCUUGCGUAAGAUACUGAAGAAAUAUGAUAAGAUACACUACUCCAAGCAAGGCCAAGUAUUUAAGUCUCAAGCGCACAGUAGGAACCUUGAGAUUCUCCAAUCACCAUGGCUAUGUGAGCUGAUGGCCUUUCACAUAAAUUCGCAAGAGACAAAGGGCAAUACAAGGAAUGCUCCUGCUUUGUUCAACGGCUGUUCCCUCAUAUUUAAAGAUGAAAAGCCUUCUCUUUCUUGUGAGCUCUUUGAUUCAGUCAAGCUUGAACUGGACUUGACUUGUUCGAUAUGCUUGGAUACAGUUUUUGAUCCAGUGUCUUUGACUUGCGGUCAUAUAUUCUGCUACAUGUGUGCUUGCAAGGCAGGAUCAGUGACCAUAGUGGAUGGAUUGAAGGCAGCUAGUCCCAAGGAAAAGUGCCCCCUUUGCAGAGAGAUUUAACAUCAAGUGAACGAAUUUGUGUCCUGCUCAAUGGAUUAUUCAAGUCUACCAGAAUGUCUUAUAUUUGCAUAUCCUUGUCUGGCCAUCAGACUGGUUUUGUACAUUCCAACUGAAUGUCAAGAACUAUCACACUUCUCACAAUUUUAGGUCAAACAAACUUGUCGAUGUUUAUCUCCACAUGAACUCAUCAGGCAGGAGUUUAUGAAGGUGCUGUGCAUUUGGAGGAGCUAAACAUUCUAUUAAGCCAAAGUUGUCCGGAGUACUGGGCGGCGCGACUACAGUCUGAACGAGCCGAAAGAAUUAGACAAGCCAAGGAGCACUGGGAAUCACAGUGUCGAGCAUUCAUGGGUAUAUAACAAGAAUCGCAGCGUUAAUUGUCUUUGAUUUGCUAUGCAUGUAUAAGGGAAUCUAUGGGUUUCUCUGGGAUUGGAAGUGUUGUCUUCUCCGACAUUUCUGAGCGAAACCAAAAUAACCUGUACAUAAAUAAGUUGGCUUUUGAACAAGUCUAACCUGAGGUCCAAAAUAACCGGUGGCCGCGUUAUCAGGUUAAUUUUGGAGGCCUAUUACUCGUUCUGUAUCGUCCUUUUGUAAUGACAUGCUUUUGGCAAAGAAAAAAAAAUAAAAAAAGUUGUGCCCGCCUGCAAUUAGGUUCA
This is an RNA transcript of Coffea arabica (coffee), 1879 nucleotides long. It is a transcript of the gene named probable E3 ubiquitin-protein ligase BAH1-like 1, with no coding region annotated. The record is from RefSeq and is a predicted model, not a curated record. NCBI's taxonomy places the organism in Eukaryota, Viridiplantae, Streptophyta, Magnoliopsida, Gentianales, Rubiaceae.